This 214-nucleotide ribosomal RNA is filed under the name Mycoplasmopsis pullorum. RNAcentral's name for it is "Mycoplasma pullorum partial 16S ribosomal RNA". The stretch from base 28 to 214 matches the Rfam family "Bacterial small subunit ribosomal RNA", at positions 1 to 196 of the family's 1533-position model. The record is from RNAcentral. Lineage: Bacteria; Bacillati; Mycoplasmatota; Mycoplasmoidales; Metamycoplasmataceae.
CUAGAUAUACAAAACAUGACAGUCAAUUUUUUCGAGAGUUUGAUCCUGGCUCAGGAUGAACGCUGGCUGUGUGCCUAAUACAUGCAUGUCGAGCGGAGUUCUUCGGAACUUAGCGGCGAAUGGGUGAGUAACACGUACUUAACGUACCCUUUAGUUUGGGAUAACGACUAGAAAUGGUCGCUAAUACCGGAUACUUAUGUUAAUCGCAUGAUUA